CUUCUUUUGUUUGUCUACAAUUACUUUGAAUGGUAAGCUAAUCAAAUCUUUAUUUCUCCUUCGUUUCUACAAUCCUUAUUUCACAUACUUCAUAUAACAUGCCUUUGAUGUAGAUUUUUUUCUUUCCUUUGAUUACUGAAAACGUUGAUCUUAUUUGUUGUGCGACAGGUUUAAUCAGUUCCAAUAGAUAUGAAAAGAAGAGGUUUUCAUUUAUACACCCCUGAUGUAAGACUCUUUGUCAGUUUAGUGUGUCUACAAGUGAUAAUGGUCAAAUGGGUGAAUUUGCUGAUCUCCACAAUCAACUCUGCAAGAAUGUUGAAAAAAACGGAAGCCUUAUUAAGUGUUUGAGAAAGUAAAUGAAAGGGUAGUUUCUUAUCCUGUUGUUCUUCGAAUUCUCUUAAUAACUGAUUUUCUCAUAAGUCAUGUUUAUCGGUAACAAGAAACGUGUGGUUAUAAUAUAUUUUUCCUUUAAUUUGCAAGCAUGUCUUGAUUUGUUUUCCUUGAGAUUUUGAGUUGUUGCAACAUUAAGUUGUAUAGUAGAUCACCAUCAAUCUGAAUCUACUACUCAAAUUGGUUGUCCUCUUUUAACUCUUGAGAAAUGUAGCAUCGUAUUUCAUUUUCUUAAUUUCUUUCAAUCCCUAUAUGCCCUUUUUUUGUUACUCUAGAGAGAUUUAUGUAUUAGAAUGAGUGUUGGUUAACAUGUGGUUAGUUCAUUUUGAUUUUAUCUUGUCUUGAUUUCUUAAAGCUGCAGUUCAGAUUAACUAAUCAACAAUAACUAUCGGGACCAGUGAUUUGAUCUUUCGGAAAAGAGUACCUCUACCUCCACGAGGUAAUGAUAAGAUAUGUUGUUGUUUGAACUCUAUUGAUUUGUAUAAUCUCUUCCUCAUUCUACUACUUAACUAUCACUAAGACUUCAGAGUCUUAAGUAUUGUUCAUGUUUAUUACCUACUUUACUGUUCUACAAGUGAUUUUGUUCCAAAAUUAAGUACACUAAUAUGGAUGAAGCUGUGGAUAAAAAUGGUAUUGGGAAGAGAGGACAACAAAACAGGAAGUGAGAUGAGAGGGACGACAAAAUGGAAAGGGAAAGAUAGACAAAAUAAAAGGUCAUUUUCUAUAAAGUUUUACCAAUUUACUCUCUAACAAUUUCUUUUUGGUUA
RNAcentral lists this long non-coding RNA (1157 nucleotides) under Solanum tuberosum (potato). RNAcentral describes it as "long non-coding RNA (STUB_LNC004497)". Lineage: Eukaryota; Viridiplantae; Streptophyta; Magnoliopsida; Solanales; Solanaceae. The record is from RNAcentral.